UAUGUACUCCCUCCGUUCCGAAUUACCUGUCGAAGGUAUGGAUGUAUCUAGAUGUAUUUUAGUUCUAGAUACAUCUAUUUCUGCGACAAGUAAUUUAGAACGGAGGGAGUAGGAU
Non-coding RNA from Triticum aestivum (bread wheat), 115 nucleotides. The record is from Rfam. Lineage: Eukaryota; Viridiplantae; Streptophyta; Magnoliopsida; Poales; Poaceae.